Molecule: ribosomal RNA, 253 nt
Filed under: uncultured bacterium
Lineage: Bacteria
Description: partial 16S ribosomal RNA
Rfam family: Bacterial small subunit ribosomal RNA
Source: RNAcentral
UACGGAGGGAGCUAGCGUUAUUCGGAAUUACUGGGCGUAAAGCGCACGUAGGCGGAUCGUUAAGUCGGGGGUGAAAUCCUGGAGCUCAACUCCAGAACUGCCUUUGAGACUGCAUCGCUUGAAUCCGGGAGAGGUAAGUGGAAUUCCGAGUGUAGAGGUGAAAUUCGUAGAUAUUCGGAAGAACACCAGUGGCGAAGGCGGCUUACUGGACCGGAAUUGACGCUGAGGUGCGAAAGCGUGGGGAGCAAACAGG